Molecule: long non-coding RNA, 1515 nt
Filed under: Monodelphis domestica (gray short-tailed opossum)
Lineage: Eukaryota; Metazoa; Chordata; Mammalia; Didelphimorphia; Didelphidae
Description: lncRNA (ENSMODG00000050999.1)
Source: RNAcentral
AGUUACUUAAAAUUGAAAAUAACAACAAAACCAAUAACAAUGAACUGAGAAGAGACAUAAUGAAGUUUCCUAAAAAUUGUUUCCUAAACUGAAAAAAUACCCAAACUCAGAAAUGAACAAUCUUACAAGGAAUUAAAUUAUAGUAAUAAUACAACAGACUGGACAGGUACCCAAUGAAGAGGUUCUAAUGAUAUUAUGGUAACCAUGACAUCAAAACAACAAGGGAAUUUUAGAAGAGCCAAUGUAAUUACUCAAUAAAAAAUUCAACCAACACAAGGUUGAAAACACAAGGUUGAAUCUUUUGAGUUCACAUGUCAAAACAAGGAGGUAUGGAACCUAGAAAUUCUAGGUCUGCUAGGUAUAGCAACAUGUCUUAGAAGAUACCAAACAGUUGGAGGCCAGCACUCUGAUACUUGGAAGUACCCGGGAGUGUCAUAGCAUCAGAAGAACACAGCGUACAAAUGUAUCCUCAAACUUUAGCGCAAACUUGAGGCUUCAGAAUGAAAAAUCCACUAUUCCACUGACAUGUCCUAUCCUAGACUGUGUCUAGAAUCACUUUUUUGGGGAGGAGAAGAUAAGUGAGUUUUUCUUUGGAGUGAGAGCCUCAAUGUCUUCAGCAAUAAAAUAUUAUGAAGGGUACAGACAAGUCACAAGCAGUUACAUUAUCAAAAAAUUUGUUGCUGGAAACUUUCUGGUGUGGAUUUAUUCCAACACUUUUUCUCCACACACUGAUCCUGAUCUGACAUUCUGUAAAUAUACUGAAGGAUUGAUGGCAUUCUCUCAAACCAGAGGGUACUUUAAGAGUCAAAAGAAAUUCUCCAGCUACUUGCUGCCUGAGAUGGCUGGAAGGCUAAAAAAAAUUGUGUUUUUGAAACUUAACUUUGUUUUUAUGAGAUAUUUUAUAAAUACAAAUAUUUUGUGCUACACCUUUGUAAACUGCUACAUUUCUGGAAACAAAAGAUUCAAUUAAACUUUAGCUUUCCUAAUAACACAAAGAAAAACUCCUGUAUCCAUUCUCAGGGAUUAACUAUUUUUAGAUAAGGCAUUUUAAAACCACUUACUAUAUGCCAAGCACUGUGCUGACCAUUUAUUUUAAAUAAUUACAACUUUAGGUAUGAUUUGGAAUUGUUAAAAAUGGAGGUUGGAAUUGAGUCAUCUCUUCAAAAUAGAUCAAUUAAUCUAUUUGGAUUGUGUCAUUUCAAAGCAAAUCAAUUCAUAUUUUGAAUUAGUAACAUCAAAGAUUAAAAAACAACACAUUUUUACACUUUUGACAUUUGUUAGCUUUCAGUAGUUUAUCACUUUCGUUUUCCCGAGUGAUUUCCUAAUAAGUUUCAUUUUUCCAUACUUCCACCUGAACUUCAAUGAAUAACUAGGUUGCAAACAGCAGGGAGACAUAACUAAGAUUUCCAUUUUUUGUUUUUAAAUUUUGGAAAGCUCUUAAAUUUUGCAUUAAUAAUGAGCUACGAUGUGAAGCUGCGUGCAGAAAUAAAAACCACCUCGAAAAUGCCCUUUGCA